This 256-nucleotide ribosomal RNA is filed under the name uncultured bacterium. RNAcentral describes it as "partial 16S ribosomal RNA". It matches the Rfam family "Bacterial small subunit ribosomal RNA", at positions 521 to 776 of the family's 1533-position model. The record is from RNAcentral.
UAAUACGUAUGGGGCAAGCGUUAUCCGGAUUUAUUGGGCGUAAAGCGCGCGUAGGCGGAUCGUUAAGUCAGAUGUGAAAUCCGGGGGCUCAACCCGCGGCCUGCAUCUGAAACUGGCGGUCUUGAGUCUGGUAGAGGAAAGUGGAAUUCCUAGUGUAGCGGUGAAAUGCGCAGAUAUUAGGAGGAACACCAGUGGCGAAGGCGGCUUUCUGGGCCACGACUGACGCUGAGGCGCGAAAGCUAGGGGAGCAAACAGG